ACCUAAAAAAGAAUACUUAAGUAACAAAAGUUUAGUUUUAAACUUUACAUUAAAUUAAUUUUAAACUAAACAUUAUCGUAUUAAAACAUAAAAUAUAAAUACUAUUAUUAUUAAUAUACUAACAUAAUACAUUAACGGAUUGAUAUUAUAUAAUUUUUACGUUUUAAUACAGCAAUACUCUGUAACUUAUAUCUAUAUUUCACUAAAUAUUGAAUUUAUUUAUAUAUAAAUUAUAUAAAAAUGGUAUAAAUUACCAAAAAGAAAAAAUAAUUAAUAGUAGCAUGAUGAAUAAUCAUGCAUUAUAGCAAGUUAGAAAAUAUAGGUGCUGAAAUUUAUUAUAAAAUGUAAGUAAAAGCAAGUAGAAUAAUUCUCAAAAUAAUAUUGGACUUAAAUGAAAAAAUAAACAGAUGUGCACAAUAUUAUAAAAAAUAACAAUUUUAUAUUCUAUUUGUUAUACAUUUAAUUAAUUGCUUUGCAUAAUCCUUAAUAAUGAAUUAGGGAUUAAAUGGCCAAGACAAAUGGUAAUUGGUACAUAUAGACAUUAAAUUUACUUUUAGAACUUCAAUUACUUACCUUCUCAUGAUUGUUAUUAAUCAUUACAUCCAUAAUACUUUACCUGAACAAAAAACAUAUAAAAGUCGGAUAUGAUAUGUUAAUGUUAGCAUAGACAAAAAAUAUUACUAAUAGAUUCCAUUUAUAUUAACAUGUUAAUCAAAAAACCUAUAUUAUAAAGUAACAUUUACUAGAAAUGAGUUGUGAAAAUUUUAUGAACUAAAUUGUUUUUACUAACUAAAUGGUUUUUGGAUUUCAUGAAGAGAUAAUUACUUUGUAUUUAUUGGCAUGAAGAUGACUGAUUAUUUAUAAGAUAUUUUAACUGAAGUUUGUGAGAAGAAUACCUAUGAAAUGAACGUGUGAAUUUGAAUAGCAAUAUUGUCAUGUAACUUGUUCUAAUUCAUUCUUUAUUCAUAUGAUAGAAAGUAUUCUAUUAUUCUAUUAUAUAUUAUUCUUCUUGAGGAAGAAGAAAGAAACGAAAUAUAUACUCUGUCUAAUGAGACGAGGCAGCAAACAAAACUUGAAUACGUUUACUACCUCGUCUCGUUAAAUAGAUUAUAUAUAGUCAAAUCAAAAAAGAAAACAUAAGCAUUGGUAAUGACAUUACCAAGCAUAUGCAUACAGAUAUAUUGCGAAUCAAAUUCCUUUUAAUCUUUUCAUACCAAAACUUCAUUAAAGUAACAAUUACAUCAUAUCCCACCACUUAGUGGAGAUGAAAGAGAAGUCGGGCUUUUAACAGCUUAGAGUUACCUUUUUCACCGAGUUUCCACUUCCAAUACAUCCAAAAAAAAAAGAAACAAGUAUAAGCUAGAACAAAACAGACUAUAGUAACACAAAGCAUAUACCUAAAAUAAAAGUCACAUAGCACAAUUAAAUAUAAGGUACGAAUUUAGUAAUACAUGUUCAUUAUGAUCAUAAAUGUUCUAAUAAUACUUAUAAAUGUUACAUACAUUAUUCCUGUAUUCCUAUAUGUUAUAUAUAUAUGAUAAUGAUUUAUUACGUACUUACUAAUCUAAAUUUGUGAAGUAUAGUAUUUCAACAAAAUAUAUAAUAUUAAAUGAAAAUAUUACCAUUAAUAAUAAAAUAUUAUUAUUAUAUAAAAAUUUUAUAUAAGUAAAUAAUUAUAUCCAUUAUUUUUAUAAAUAUAUAUAUAUAUAUAUUCCAUUUUGUGCAAGAAGUCAUGACAAUAAACAAAUUAAUAUUACUCGAAUCAUAAUAAAAAUUAAACAUGCAGCCAUUCCAAAAGUAAAGCAUAUGGAGAAUCCACAAAAUGGAGUAAGAAUUUGAAGUACAGUUCGCAAUAGAUCAUUUUUUUAUAUGUAACAUUAGUUCUAUUAUACCAUUAUUCCAAAACAUAAUUUUUUUGUACAAACUCGAUGACAAAAAAGAAAAUGUAAAGCAGCAAACAAGAAUAAAAUUACUCUUAGGACACUGAAAAUAUAAAAACAUUGUGCUUACAUAUUGCACAUUAAAUGUUCAAUAUCCAGUUAUCCAAA
Bombus huntii is the source of this 2048-nucleotide long non-coding RNA. RefSeq lists it as uncharacterized. The transcript is spliced from 2 exons. Lineage: Eukaryota; Metazoa; Arthropoda; Insecta; Hymenoptera; Apidae. The record is from RefSeq and is a predicted model, not a curated record.